UAUUAAUUUGCAUAUCGACAGCGGAAAGGCAGGACUUCGUAACUGAAAAAAUUUUAUAACGAGUUACUUCAGUUUUCGCUUUAGAAUAAGUGUAUCGGCAGCUAUUAAACAGCGAUUACAGCUAGGAAAGUUUCAAGUUUCCGGAAGGCUUCCAAAAGGCUUUCCCAGCUCUAAAAGCUGUUUAAUAGGUGCUGAUACACUUAUUCUAAAGCGAAAACCGAAGUAACUCAUUUUAUACAAAUUUUUCAGUUAUGAGGUCCUGCCUUUCCACCGUCGAUAUACACAAUAUAAUUUAAAACAAGAAUGUUACCACUAAACCACUUUUUAAAUAUUACUCAUGAAUAUUUACUACAGUUUACAAUUUCAAACUAGUGUGUUUGAUUCUCCUAUACCUAUAUUUUACUUUUUUAGUAAACUUCAGACUGUUCAGGAUAGCAUAAUAGCAUAGGAGGCGAAUUAAAAAGAAUUGAUUUACUUACAAGAAAAGAUAUCACAAACAUUAAACUCUCUUAUGGCAUUGAUUUGAAAGAUGGGUAUAUGUACAAUGAUGAUGCAACCAGUGUUUAUUUUUGGGUUGAAUGCUUACAGACUCAUGUCCAAUAUUAUUUUACAAACAACAGGGCAUACUAAUGGAUUCUCAUUCUGAAUUUAACAUUUAUGAUUUUUGUCUUAUUUUCCUUAAUACUGUGCCAAAAGGAAAUGUUAAUUAAGUUUGGUAAAUCCUUUAUCGCAAUCGAUGGAACUCAUGGGCUCAAUUCCUAUGACUUUGAACUUAUUGACAGUAUUAGUAAAAGAUGAAUUUGGGAAUGGAUUUUGUACUGCUGUCUUAUUUUCAAAUAGAAAAGAUACCUACUUUAAUUUACCAAUUUUUUUAAAUACAUGUCUGUGUUGGUAUUAUAUGUGUAUAGGGCUUUUCAUUCACAGUCAUUUGUUUCGAGCUUGUGCUAUGUUUCGAGCAUAUGUCACAUAAUAUUAAUAUAUCUACGUCAUACGUUAUUGGUAUCUGGAAUGAUACAAACCAAAGACGUAUGGCGUAGAUAUAUUAAUAUUAUGUGACACAUGACAGAAGCUUGAAACAAAUGACAGUCGAUGAAAAGCCCUAUAGUCAAAUGUUUUCAUAUCAGACAUAAGCGACACCUUUUACAAUGCCUCGUCAAAUGUAAUGGAUAUUGCUCCUAAUAGACUGUUAAGUGCCUGGCACAUAGAUAGGGCAUGGUAAGUAAAUCUUAAUAAAAUAUCUGAUUCUGAAAAAAAUCCUAUUAUGUAUACAAGAUGUAUUAAUGAUGGUUUAGAGAGUAUUAAUAGCUUUUUGGGUAGACUUCUAAGUGAUGCAGAUACAUACAAUUUUAGUAAGUAUUUCCAGUAGAACUACUGCAAUAACAUCCAACAAUGGGCCUAUUGUUAUAGGAAGGGGUUGUGGAAUUAAUACCAAUAUGACCAUUCAAAAUUUUCAUAAAAUUUUGGAUAAAAGGGUAUAGUAUUUUUACUACAAAAGCGAUAUUACGUAGGUCAAAAUUUUUGACGUAAUAGAACUGUCAAAACAUUAGAAUGUGACUUUUCAUUAUUGCCAUGUUUAUUAUAAAUAAUGAAAAGUCACAUUCUAAUGUUUUGACAGUUCUCUUACGUCAAAAAUUUUGACCUACGUAAUAUCGCUUUUGUAGUAAAAAUACUAUAUCCAUUAGUUGUUAUCAGUUAAGUUUAAAACUUGGCACUCAUGGAGAGCUAUACCAUAAUAUAUAAUAGGUAUAUUUCAUAAUAUUACAUCUCGUAUUGUUCACUACAGUAGUAAUGAGUGAGCCUGCAUACACAGAACCAUAAUAAUAUAUUAUAGUUUGUGUAUGCAGGCUCACUCAUUACAAUAGUGAGCAAUAUGAGAUAUAACAUAUUAUAGUAUAAGUCAUGUGCAUGACCAGAUUAACAUGUUUGGUGCCCAUCUCGAACAAGCUCCACUUGGCUGGUACCACAUACUUAAAUCAUUUAUUUAGUUACACAGUACUACUCACAUAACUUAUGUGUCGUCAGUACCUUCCGUAAAACCUUCGUGAUGCUACCCAUACGUCAUGGCCACUAAAUGUGUUAAAGCUUGUUAAUGUAGGAGAGUUAUACUAAAAUAUAUAUCUUAUAUUAUAUUGCCUUAAAUAGAAAAAAUAUCUUAUUUAAAUUGUAUCCAUGUAAGUUUUGAUUUAAUGAAAUAAACCUUUUAAUCAAAAAAGUGUUGUUUACUUGUGUACACCCAGUAAUAUCCUGAUCAUAGAUAAAUAAUAUAGUAUUACCGGAUCCUGAUAUGCAGACGCCAAUAGGGCUUUUCAUUGAUUGUCAUUUGUUUCGAGCUUCUGUCAUGAGUCACAUAAUAUUAAUGUAUCUAUGUCAUACGUCUUUGGUUUGUAUCAUUGGUAUAUACCAAUAACGUACGACGUAGAUAUUAUGUGACACAUGACUGAAGCUCGAAACAAAUGACUGAAUGAAAUGCCCUAUUGAAUAGGACUUUUCAUCGAUUGUCAUUUGUUUUGAGCUUCGGUCAAGUGUCACAUAAUAUUAAUAUAUCUACGUCAUACAUCUUUGGUUUGUAUCAUUGGCAAUAUCAAUAACAUAUGACAUAGAUAUAUAUUAAUAUUAGACAACACAUGACAGAAGCUCGAAACAAAUGACUGAGUGAAAAGCCCUAUAUCAUGUAAAUACAAGUCAUAAAGAUGUCUUUCUACGGUUAAAAUUGCACAGCCUAAAGACAUCAUUUAUGUAACUUCUUAAGCCGUCACAAAAUGACUGCAAUAAGAAAAUAGAAUUUAUUAACUCGCCUCGCCCCCAGGCAAAGUAAAGGUGCUAGGCCACUAAGAAUGUUUUUUCAAUUUUUUUUAUUUUGCGGCUUUAGCGCUUAGCUAUUUAGCCAGAUACAUGAUGAGAAUUAAUACUAUUAUAAUACAUAUUAAAACUAAUUCAAAUUACUAGUAAUUUUAUUAAUAUUCUGAAUAAUUAUGUAACCACUUAAUACUAAAAUAAAAAAGUGUCCAUCUAUACUAUCCCAACACAUUUUCACCUUUGAAAUCGUAAAUUUCCAUUCCCAUUAAAAAAUAAUUUGUACUGUAUAAGUUUAUUAUAUAAUAUUUCUUUUGAGCUUCAUUUUUUUUUCAAAAUACUGCAACAUGAGUUUUAAAUUAUGACACAGUACAAUACUUGUUUCAAUAUUUACAUGUAAAUAAAAUAAUCCUAAUUACUUGUAAAAGUAAGGUUAUAAAUUUAAGAAUACAGAACUCUUUUAAUAAUUACCAAAGUGGCAUUAAACUAAUUUUAAAAUUCCCGCUAAAAGGAAAAAGGUAAAUCUGGCAACAGUGCCGUCGUUUGCUGGACAUUUCUCUCCCCCUGACUUUGUAGAGUAAAUUUUUGGCAUUAGGCAAUCCAAACCACGUGACCUCUGGUUGGCACACAAACUAACAAAGAGGUUAUGUUUGCAUCUAUUUUUCAUUGUUUAUCGUCGUAUUUUGGAUUCAUUUGGAUUUCGUUUCCUGUUUUUGUGAACUUUAUAAACUUUACCACAAUGCAAACUGAUUAUUUAAGGAAAUUAUUAUUGGAAACUCCAGAUGUUGCGAGAAAGGUAGGCGAAACAAUUUUUUUUACUGUUCAUUUUGCCCCGAUAUUUAUCAAUAAUGAUGAAUUUUGCAAGCAAUAACAUUAUUUCUUUUAUUGUUCUAGAUAUUUAUUGAAGCUGAAAAUAAUUGGGGAUUUAGAUCCAUACGCAAUUCAGUCAGAAUUGGAUUUUACAGUAAAGUGCAGUCCAUCAAAUUACUAUUAUAGAUAUUUAUACAUAUCUGGUGGAGUCUGAUAUGUCACAGUUGCUACUCUAAGCAGCAGAUGAAAGCAUACAAAAGCCUUCAGGCACAUAAAUAUUUUACAGCUGGAUUUGUUUUGAAUGGAGUAAAAAUUGUUAAUGAUUUCCAUAUUAUUGUCAGAAAGGUGAAGCAUUUCCAAAAAUCUAAUGCUAAACGACUAAAUGCUUGGGUGGGGUGAUAGCCAGUUCUGAUGACAUAGCAAAUUCACAUUGUAUGCGUAUGGCCGGUAAUAGUGAAGUCUGCAGCCAUAUUGCAGCAAUCCUAUGUUUAGCUUAGUAUGCUCAGGGCAAGACAGACGAAGAAGAACCCAAUGUAUGUACAUAUGUUACAGCUACAUGGUUUGGAGAUAGCAACAUAUGCAUUCUCUGAUGAAAAACUAAUGAGUUUUGAAACUGUUCGGUCAGAGUGCUUGUUGCGCUCACUAAACGAAUUGAAAUAUAAGAUGGCUUUGGCAUUGUGUUGCAGCCAUAUGAAAAUGGUUAUUCAUUUUUAAUUAUAAUGUACUUCUUCAUCAUGAGUAAUUAUGUAUUGGUCUUUUAAAUGUGUAUUUAUUUUUGUAAUUAGUAUCAACUUGUAAUGAUAAUAUACAUUUAUCGUUUAAGGUAUGACUAUGUUUUGACUCUAAAAUAAAUGUUUUAAAAAUCGAA
This is a long non-coding RNA of Diabrotica virgifera virgifera (western corn rootworm), 4471 nucleotides long. RefSeq lists it as uncharacterized. Lineage: Eukaryota; Metazoa; Arthropoda; Insecta; Coleoptera; Chrysomelidae. The record is from RefSeq and is a predicted model, not a curated record. The transcript has 2 exons.